AAGUCGUAACAAGGUUUCCGUAGGUGAAACGUUAAACCCCCCUGUGAACCUUCACCUGUACUCGGACGUCCGUUAGAAAAAGCAGCAAUCCCUGGUAAAUCAUCGCCGAACAGUUUUCGAUUCAGGGAUGUCUGCAAGGAGCGUGCAUGUUGUGCGAGCAAGUGGCCUGGCAUCCCCAAGCAGUUAGUGUAUUAACUGUGUAAGGAUGACGCAGUCACGAUCGUUGGAGGCCCACACGGGUCACUGGGCGCAAGCCCCCCUAUAACAAACGCUGCUAAUCGCGGCCGCGAUAAUACGCAGUCGACCAAAAACCGAACAACUGAUAUCUUGGUUCUC
This 336-nucleotide unclassified non-coding RNA is filed under the name fungal sp. RNAcentral's name for it is "partial internal transcribed spacer region". The record is from RNAcentral. Lineage: Eukaryota; Fungi.